Vidua chalybeata is the source of this 781-nucleotide long non-coding RNA. RefSeq lists it as uncharacterized. NCBI's taxonomy places the organism in Eukaryota, Metazoa, Chordata, Aves, Passeriformes, Viduidae. The transcript has 2 exons. The record is from RefSeq and is a predicted model, not a curated record.
GGCUGCUUCUUCCUGCCAUCACACUGGUGAGCCCAGCGCAGCUGCUCCCUUUGCAGUGGUUCUUAAGCCCCUCCUGCACUGGAGCACUGGACAUUCUUGUCUGGACUCUUCAGGACAACAAAAUGGCAAAAAAGAGGAGCCCCAAGUGUGAAACUAGCCUUGAGACUUCUCUAAUUCCUGCAUGAGAAAAUGGCAGGGAUCUUGCAAAGCAGUUAUUCAUCUCUAACAGCACUCCUAUAUCUAAGGCAGCAAGCAGAGCCUGGGAAGGGCUUUUUGUCACACUGACACAAGUCACAAGAAAUCUGGGCAGUGUGCAAACAACAUCAAGAGCAGGGCAGGACCUUCUCCCAGGCCCAGCCUUCACUGCCACAUGGAGGAAGAGGCACAGACAUCUGGUGACCCAAGCAAUUGCUUAAUGUGGUUCCUCAGAGAAGUGUCAGCAAGUGUAUGGACAGGAACUGGCAAACAGUUCCACCAGACCAUGCUGGCCUGGCACAUCAUGGAAAAAGUGAAGAAUGAUUCAAGCUGGCUGUGUUUUCUGUACCUGUGGGCCUCUUGGCAGAUGCACAGGACUAACCAUAGCUACCAAAAAGAACAUCAUUUUGCUAUGGAUGCUGCAAAUCACACAUGUGACUCCUCUCUCCUUACCCUGUUAUGGAGAGACAACAAUUUUCUGUGUUUCAACAAGAAUUUGAUUUCACAAUCAUACAAAAAUAUAUUUGCCAGCAGAUUUUUGAUUGGAAAAAUACAGCACUUUAAUUACAUAGAUACCAUAACUCUC